RNAcentral lists this ribosomal RNA (114 nucleotides) under Lepisosteus oculatus (spotted gar). Lineage: Eukaryota; Metazoa; Chordata; Actinopteri; Semionotiformes; Lepisosteidae. The record is from RNAcentral.
ACCGGCAGCCAUAUCGCCCUGCAGCUGCCAGCUGGCAGCCCACUGAAGCUCAGCAGGUGUGAGACUGGUCAGUACCUGGAUGGGAGACUCCUGGGAAAGCUGAGGCUGCUGCUG